This is a long non-coding RNA of Cyprinus carpio (common carp), 458 nucleotides long. RefSeq lists it as uncharacterized. NCBI's taxonomy places the organism in Eukaryota, Metazoa, Chordata, Actinopteri, Cypriniformes, Cyprinidae. The record is from RefSeq and is a predicted model, not a curated record. The transcript is spliced from 4 exons.
CAGUUAUACGGCCAGUUUUUGAUCAUCCUCACACGAGGAACUUGAAGAAAACUGAUCCAGUGGCAAAGUUUUUCCAGCAUAAGCAGAACUGGGAGAUGUUUAAACCUCCAGGAGAGAAGAGCAGGAAGGAACUGCACUGGGCUAUUAGGGAACAACUUGUGUAUCAGCCUCCACCUCCGAGACCUCAGAAGACGUACAUCCCCAACAUUUAUGUGGUUCAAACAGAGAAGAAGCGAUCUGCGCUAAGAUGGGAGAUCCGACAUGAUUUAGCACAUGGCAUUAUUCCAACAAAAAUCUCUUAUCCCUGACAGAGAAUCUUCAACCUAUGCCUUAUCUUUUAUAUAUGUCUAAUGCUAUUAUUUAUUCAUGAUAUUGACUUUUUUUUACUUCAUUGUACAUGUGAAAUGAGACCUCAAGAUCAUUGUUCUUUUAUGAAAUAAACAUUUUAAUACUUUGAA